Long non-coding RNA from Erinaceus europaeus (western European hedgehog), 477 nucleotides. RefSeq lists it as uncharacterized. The record is from RefSeq and is a predicted model, not a curated record. The transcript has 2 exons. Lineage: Eukaryota; Metazoa; Chordata; Mammalia; Eulipotyphla; Erinaceidae.
AGUGCUCCCAGGUGGUGCUCCCGCUCCCUCCAGCUCGGGAGACGUCACGCCCCCUGGCACUGUGAGCACACCCCCACCCACCCCCCACACACCUCCGCACCCUGCCCACUGGCCCGAGGGAGCCCCUCACUCACAGGGAAUUUCCCUCCCUGGUCACGUCCCUGGCCCUGGCCCAGCCCCAGCCCCAGCUGUGGCCGGUCCCCCAGGGCCGGAUGGGUGGACCCGGCUCACCGGGCUGGGGACUGGGGAUGGAAAAUGGUGGUUCCAGGGCAGAUUGGCUAGUGAAUUCUUAGAUGUACUGAAGUGUUUACCUAACUCCAAAUCCUGGCCCUGCCCCAGUGCUGCAAUGUGUACUGAGCACAUGCUAGGAGCCCAAGGAUAUUUGGAAGAAAGAAAACCCAAGAACUUUUGUGUCCUCCUAGGGCAAUUUCUGGGAUAGAUGAGGAACUACUGGAGAUAAUAAACAAAAAGGAACGA